GUGAAUCAUCGAAUUUUUGAACGCAAAUUGCACUCUCUGGUAUUCCGGAGAGUAAGCCUGGUUGAGGGGCAGGCUUAAUAAAAAUCGGUGUGGUUGCUGCCUUACGUGGUGACGCACCGGAUUUGGGUCGUCUUGCCUUCGGUUAAGUGACCUAUAAAUAUGCUUGAUAUGUUUCGAACGUAUUUAAAUGAAUUUACGUACGUUUG
This 206-nucleotide unclassified non-coding RNA is filed under the name Glomus sp. RNAcentral describes it as "partial contains 5.8S ribosomal RNA and internal transcribed spacer 2". The stretch from base 1 to 71 matches the Rfam family "5.8S ribosomal RNA", at positions 84 to 154 of the family's 154-position model. The record is from RNAcentral. Lineage: Eukaryota; Fungi; Glomeromycota; Glomeromycetes; Glomerales; Glomeraceae.